RNAcentral lists this transfer RNA (63 nucleotides) under Mordella atrata. RNAcentral describes it as "tRNA-Asp". Lineage: Eukaryota; Metazoa; Arthropoda; Insecta; Coleoptera; Mordellidae. The record is from RNAcentral.
AAAAACUUAGUUAAAAAAUAACAUUAACUUGUCAAGUUAAAAUUAAUUCAUUAUUAGUUUUUA